GUGCUCACAUUGACAGCAAAUAUACUAAAAUUAGAAAGAUACAGAGAAGAUUAACAUGACCCCUAUACAAGAAUGAUAUGCAAAUUCUUGAAGUGUUUCAUAUUUUU
RNAcentral lists this small nuclear RNA (107 nucleotides) under Castor canadensis (American beaver). Lineage: Eukaryota; Metazoa; Chordata; Mammalia; Rodentia; Castoridae. The record is from RNAcentral.